This 253-nucleotide ribosomal RNA is filed under the name uncultured bacterium. RNAcentral's name for it is "partial 16S ribosomal RNA". It matches the Rfam family "Bacterial small subunit ribosomal RNA", at positions 524 to 776 of the family's 1533-position model. The record is from RNAcentral.
UACAGAGGUCUCGAGCGUUAAUCGGAGUCACUGGGCUUAAAGGGUGCGUAGGCCGGCCUGUAAGUGCUUUGUGAAAUCCCAUGGCUUAACCAUGGAACUGCUUGGCAUACUGCGGGCCUUGAGGUCGGUAGGGGCAGCCGGAACUCUAGGUGGAGCGGUGAAAUGCGUAGAUAUCUAGAGGAACGCCGAAGGUGAAGACAGGCUGCUGGGCCGAUCCUGACGCUGAGGCACGAAAGCGUGGGGAGCAAACGGG